This 231-nucleotide ribosomal RNA is filed under the name uncultured bacterium. RNAcentral's name for it is "partial 16S ribosomal RNA". It matches the Rfam family "Bacterial small subunit ribosomal RNA", at positions 524 to 753 of the family's 1533-position model. The record is from RNAcentral.
UACAGAGACUGCAAGCGUUAUUCGGAUUCACUGGGCGUAAAGGGUGCGCAGGCGGCCAAGUGUGUCAGGUGUGAAAUCCCGAGCUUAACCUCGGAACUGCGCCUGAAACUACUUGGCUAGAGUACUGGAGAGGGUAACGGAAUUCACGGUGUAGCAGUGAAAUGCGUAGAUAUCGAUGAGGAACACCAGAGGCGAAGGCGGUACCUGGACAGUUACGUGACGCUCGAGGCA